This is a long non-coding RNA of Panonychus citri (citrus red mite), 2060 nucleotides long. RefSeq lists it as uncharacterized. Lineage: Eukaryota; Metazoa; Arthropoda; Arachnida; Trombidiformes; Tetranychidae. The record is from RefSeq and is a predicted model, not a curated record. The transcript is spliced from 5 exons.
CGUUGACGUAACGUGAAGACACAAACUUAUAAAAUGGACUUUCUCGUGUUGGUAUUUUGGUUCAUUGAUAAUCGGCUUUUCGUAAUACAAACGGUAAAACUUAUAAUUCCUGUUAUAAUGUUCACAUUCAGGAUUCAACAGUAUACACACACAGGCAAUCGACCAACAAUCAAGAAGUAGAAGGAGCAAGAAAAAAGAGGAGAAAGAGAAUAAAGAAAGACGAUGAUGAUAAGGGAGCAAAUUAAUAUAAGGAAAAAAAACUUUUACAUGUAAAGGUAUUUUCUCUUUCUCCCUCUCUCGAGCUUCCUCUCUUCUUUUUCUCUUUCUUCUUUUCUCAGGGUUACCUGGUAAGGUAGACACUCUGUAAGCUGUAAUACACUUACACAUAUACAAGCACGAAUUUCGAUAAACUUAAUGUCCUAAAGGUAAAGUCGAUGAUGAAAGGCCAAAGAAAAAAAAAUGAUGAGGAUAAAACGAUCCAAAGAAAUGAUGAUGAAUUAAUCGUUUACCCAAUUGACACAAUGGCACAACAAUAACAACAAAAAACCAUCGAUUACACUGAAUGAAUAUGGUGACAAUUUAUUAACAGAAAACUUUGACAAUCAACUGAAUGUGUAUUCAGGAAUCAAGGAAAUUAACAAAACAAGGUAAAUGAAGAGUAAGUUAAUUGUUAUUGUUGUAAAAUAGUCACAAAUUAAGUAACAAUCAUAUAGUAAGUAUUAUAUUUAUAUACAUGAAAAAAGUGAUAAUAUAUUAAUAGUAAGACCUGAUAAUAGUUGGUGCAAUUGCUAUCAGAAAAUAACAAUUAAUUUUUCCUCAAUUUUGUCAUUCAAUGUUAACGAAUAUACUUGUUUGAUCUCAGAUUAAUUAGAGAGACUUAAUUACAAUGUAAAAUAAUUAAUGAUCAACGAUAUAUGUACACAUGGAAAUGAAGAGUAAUCAAGAAAAGGUAAUUUUGUCAUGGGAUUGUCUCAUUUUUUUCUGUUCUUCAAGAAAGAGGAAAAGAAAGAGAUGGAUCAUCCUUAUCAUCCAUCACCACAAAAUAACGUGCUAAUAUCGUAUAUAUUAUAUGAUAGAAAAACAAAAUUAGACAGAGAAGAAAAAAGAAAGAGAAAAUUUUAGUUUCGUCGUAAGCGACUGGCCUAAUAACGACGUAGACGAAAAAGUCUUUCGAUAAACUUUAUCUUCUCUGUCUUUAUAAUAUCUUAUCUCUCUCUCUCUCUCUCUCUCUCUCUCUCUUUCUCCCUCUUUACCCUUCUCAUUUAUCAUCAUUCGCAUUUCUCUUCCAACACAACAACAACAACACGACACAAUUAAAACUACAUAUGACAACGAGAUGAUAUUAUAACUAAAUUGCUGCUUCAAUCCUGUUUACACAUGUUGAUUCAAGUUGAUUAACUUUGAUUAUCAACUUCUAUUGUCCUUUGUAACCUUCUCGAUUAUGACGAUUUAAUUUUCCCGUCUCAUUUUUGGACUAUCAAUUAACAAAUAUCAACGAUAAUAAUAACGGUACAUUAGCCCUACUUUUAAGAAUCGUCUACGUAUCAAGUUAAUCAUUGGAUUGAAAGAUAAAUUCAUUUACGAUUUAAUUAUCUUGAUAUAUGAUUUAAUUGUACAAUCAAAUUGUAAUUAACUUUCGUUGUUAACCAGGGUAACAAAAGUGAUUAAGGUUAAUUAUUGAUCAUUUCAAGCAACAAUUGGACUCACAAUUAAAUAGACAGAGGAAAAGGAUUGAUCAUCAUUCAUUGAUUAUCGUCAUUAAUACUAAUCAUCAGCAUCAUCAUCAAUAUUUUUCAUUCAAUUUAGUCAUGAGAUGAAUUCAUAUCUAAUCUGAUUGAUUAGAUAUCGAUGAAUUUUUUUUUUUUGAGAGUUUAUAAUUGUUUCGAUUAUUGUAAUUACAAUUAUGUAAGUUGGUUUUGAUUUCAAGUUGAAUGGUUGAUUGAGUGCAUACCACAAUUUAAUUAGCGAUCAUUAUGAUAUCAGAUUGUUUUAUUUACUUAUGAUUAUUUAUUUUGGUUUAAUUGUUGAUUGUUUACAAUUAAAACAAAUGAUCGACUAAU